Lontra canadensis (Northern American river otter) is the source of this 362-nucleotide long non-coding RNA. RefSeq lists it as uncharacterized. The transcript is spliced from 4 exons. The record is from RefSeq and is a predicted model, not a curated record. NCBI's taxonomy places the organism in Eukaryota, Metazoa, Chordata, Mammalia, Carnivora, Mustelidae.
CAUGUGCACCCCUGUGGAAUCCAGUUCAUCUCCAAUCUGUCAGCAAGCAUCAGAGGUAGUUUUGACUCCUUAUGUCCUGAGCCUGUGCACAAAAUAUACCUUGUGUGGAGGAAAAUGAGAUCCCGAGUGAAGUCUACAAUGUCAUUGACUCUGAAGAAGGACUCAGAGACCCAUUGGUGUUUAAUGACCCUUACUGGCCUAUGCAAUGGGAACUGGUAAGGAAGGGAAAAGAAAGCAGGAAACACUGGAAAGAUAAAUGAGGUCUUUCUUAUGAAGGUGUGUCCCACAGAGAGAUCUAGACCAUUGAUUGGCAUUCACACCUGUGGAAACAAAGUGUCAAUGCUGAUAGAACUGAAAACGUU